GCCCAAAGUCGGUUUAGCUAACUUCGGAAGCGACUGCCUAAGGCAGGAUUGGUGACUGGGGUGAAGUCGUAACAAGGUAUCCCUACGAGAACGUGGGGAUGGAUCACCUCCUUUCUACGGAGUACAAUUACAAUUUCAUUUUUGGCCUAAAAUCUUAAUACCUGAUAUUUAAAACUAAAUUAUUUAAAUAUCUCACGAGGGUACUAAGUCAGUGUGUUGGUGUAGCCAAAAGCACUCUAAUAUUCAGUUUUGAGGGAUUUACCUCAAAAAAAUAGAUCUUUGAAAACUGAAUAGCAUAUAAAUUAAUAUGAUAACGACAUCAAAAUAUAUUUUGUGAAAAUAAUUUUGAUCCGAGUUGUGUCUAUACAUGGGUAUAGACACUAUAAAUACCUUAAGAAUACAUCAAAACAAAAAACAUUUUUUUUAAUAGGAAAAAAUAGUUACUUAUACUUUUAAAUAAGCAAGAGUUUGUAGUGG
This 477-nucleotide unclassified non-coding RNA is filed under the name uncultured Mycoplasma sp. Its description in RNAcentral is "partial contains 16S-23S ribosomal RNA intergenic spacer and 23S ribosomal RNA". The stretch from base 1 to 114 matches the Rfam family "Bacterial small subunit ribosomal RNA", at positions 1419 to 1533 of the family's 1533-position model. Lineage: Bacteria; Bacillati; Mycoplasmatota; Mollicutes; Mycoplasmatales; Mycoplasmataceae. The record is from RNAcentral.